Molecule: ribosomal RNA, 836 nt
Filed under: uncultured Bacteroidota bacterium
Lineage: Bacteria; Pseudomonadati; Bacteroidota
Description: bacterial SSU rRNA
Rfam family: Bacterial small subunit ribosomal RNA
Source: RNAcentral
GGCUCAGGAUGAACGCUAGCUACAGGCUUAACACAUGCGAGUCGAGGGGAAACGACAUCGAAAGCUUGCUUUUGAUGGGCGUCGACCGGCGCACGGGUGAGUAACGCGUAUCCAACCUGCCCACCACUUGGGGAUAACCUUGCGAAAGUAAGACUAAUACCCAAUGAUAUCUCUAGAAGGCAUCUGAAGGAGAUUAAAGAUUUAUCGGUGAUGGAUGGGGAUGCGUCUGAUUAGCUUGUUGGCGGGGUAACGGCCCACCAAGGCGACGAUCAGUAGGGGUUCUGAGAGGAAGGUCCCCCACAUUGGAACUGAGACACGGUCCAAACUCCUACGGGAGGCAGCAGUGAGGAAUAUUGGUCAAUGGGCGAGAGCCUGAACCAGCCAAGUAGCGUGCAGGAUGACGGCCCUAUGGGUUGUAAACUGCUUUUAUAAGGGAAUAAAGUGAGCCUCGUGAGGCUUUUUGCAUGUACCUUAUGAAUAAGGACCGGCUAAUUCCGUGCCAGCAGCCGCGGUAAUACGGAAGGUCCGGGCGUUAUCCGGAUUUAUUGGGUUUAAAGGGAGCGUAGGCCGGAGAUUAAGCGUGUUGUGAAAUGUAGACGCUCAACGUCUGCACUGCAGCGCGAACUGGUUUCCUUGAGUACGCACAAAGUGGACGGAAUUCGUGGUGUAGCGGUGAAAUGCUUAGAUAUCACGAAGAACUCCGAUUGCGAAGGCAGCUCACUGGAGCGCAACUGACGCUGAAGCUCGAAAGUGCGGGUAUCGAACAGGAUUAGAUACCCUGGUAGUCCGCACGGUAAACGAUGGAUGCCCGCUGUUGGUCUGAAUAGGCCAGCGGC